CCGAAUAGCUGCAUACUGUAGGUUUUGGUGCAUCGAAAAUGGCAUCUGCUGUUUCUGUAUGUGACGUGCAAUAUCUUUUUAGGUUUGGUUUUUAUUUUGAUGGGGGGAUUCCGGGUCCGGAGACACGCCCACUGCUGCUGAGCUGCGCAUCGACAUGGAGCACACCUGUGCCACAUAAUUAGUGCAGCAUGCUAGUGGCUUUAUAAAAAGCACAUUGGAGUGGGGCUGUUUAAUUUCUCUUCUGUGUGCAUCUUGUGUGGGCAGAAAAGGUAUUUUGGCUAUAUUUUCCUGUCGCUGUCCCCUGGUGCGGCCAAAGAGCGCUAGCUGCUGUUUCUAAUGGCUGUUUCUAGCUGCUGUUUCUAGCUUCCGUUUUAAGCUACCGUUUUAUUACGGCUAUUUUCUUAGUUGCUGUUCUGAUUAUUGCUGUUUGUUUUUAUGUAUAUUUUUCAGAGCUGUUUUAAACUUGACUUAUUAUUGGGUUACAGUCGGCAUAGUGCGGACGUUGCAGCGGUGAACACUAUCUUGAAUACUGGGAUGAUACGUCAGUACUGCAUUGCCGUAUAUUUAUUCUGAGUACAAGUUUAUCGAAUUAACCGGUUUUGUAUUUCUUUCUUUCAAACCGUUUUGGUGCUCUUUAAAUUAAUCUGUUUUUACCGGUUAUCACUGGACUGUCAUUUGUAUUUUUUUCUUUCUUUUCUUUUGCGUCUUUUGUUUGUCUGUUUACCGCAUAUAUAUCCACCUCUGACUAUCGGACAACGAACUGUGAUUAGUGAGGCUUAACAGAGGGAUUGUUUGUCGUCCUUUUCUUUAUCCCUUUUUUCUUGGUUUAUCAGUGUUUAUUAUGCACUGCUUUGUGUGGUGUGUCCCUCUUUGUUAAGGCGGACCUAGUCUAGUUUGUUUUCUCCAUUGUUGGUAACUAAUCGGUAAACUGUACACUUGUAUCUUAAAUGGUUUUAAGAGCAAAUGGUUUUCCUUUUUCUUGUUUUUGUAAAAUAAAGUUGUAUUCAUUUUUUUGGAAA
Molecule: long non-coding RNA, 1019 nt
Organism: Tachysurus fulvidraco (yellow catfish)
Lineage: Eukaryota; Metazoa; Chordata; Actinopteri; Siluriformes; Bagridae
Exons: 2
Source: RefSeq, a predicted model, not a curated record